UGCAGUCGAUCGCUCUUUUCGGAGAGAGAGGCGCACGGGUGAGUAACACGUGGGAAUAUACCCUUGAGUACGGAAUAACUAUUGGAAACGAUAGCUAAUACCGUAUACGCCCUACGGGGGAAAGAUUUAUCGCUCAAGGAUUAGCCCGCGUCUGAUUAGCUAGUUGGUGAGGUAAUGGCUCACCAAGGCGACGAUCAGUAGCUGGUUUGAGAGAAUGAUCAGCCACACUGGGACUGAGACACGGCCCAGACUCCUACGGGAGGCAGCAGUGGGGAAUAUUGGACAAUGGGCGCAAGCCUGAUCCAGCCAUGCCGCGUGAGUGAAGAAGGCCUUCGGGUUGUAAAGCUCUUUCAGACGUGAAGAUGAUGACGGUAACGUCAGAAGAAGCCCCGGCUAACUUCGUGCCAGCAGCCGCGGUAAUACGAAGGGGGCAAGCGUUGUUCGGAAUUACUGGGCGUAAAGCGCGCGUAGGCGGCGUCGUCAGUCAGAGGUGAAAUCCCAGGGCUCAACCUUGGAAUUGCCUUUGAUACUGCGAUGCUUGAGUUCGAGAGAGGGUGGCGGAAUACCCAGUGUAGAGGUGAAAUUCGUAGAUAUUGGGUAGAACACCAGUGGCGAAGGCGGCCACCU
This 627-nucleotide ribosomal RNA is filed under the name uncultured bacterium. Its description in RNAcentral is "bacterial SSU rRNA". It matches the Rfam family "Bacterial small subunit ribosomal RNA", at positions 56 to 730 of the family's 1533-position model. The record is from RNAcentral.